RNAcentral lists this ribosomal RNA (301 nucleotides) under uncultured bacterium. Its description in RNAcentral is "partial 16S ribosomal RNA". It matches the Rfam family "Bacterial small subunit ribosomal RNA", at positions 509 to 807 of the family's 1533-position model. The record is from RNAcentral.
CAGUAGCCGCGGUAAUACGUAGGGUGCAAGCGUUAAUCGGAAUUACUGGGCGUAAAGCGUGCGCAGGCGGUUUGUUAAGACAGAUGUGAAAUCCCCGGGCUCAACCUGGGAACUGCAUUUGUGACUGGCAAGCUAGAGUCUGGCAGAGGGGGGUGGAAUUCCGCGUGUAGCAGUGAAAUGCGUAGAUAUGCGGAGGAACACCGAUGGCGAAGGCAGCCCCCUGGGCCAACACUGACGCUCAUGCACGAAAGCGUGGGGAGCAAACAGGAUUAGAUACCCCUGUAGUCCCUGUCUCUUAUAC